GAAAAUGCGAUAUGCAAUGUGAAUUGCAGAACCACGAAUCAUUUGAUCUUUGAACGCAAAUGGCGCUGGCAUUACCAGCAUACUUGUUUCAGUGUGCCCAAACAAAUAAACAAUAAAAAUGUAAGAGAAAAUUCUCUUAUUAAAUACAUGCUCCAAGUAGCAGUCGCAUUUUUAUGUGAUCUACAUGGAUGAAAUUUGACUUAUCCGCACCUGAAAUCAAGUAAGAACACCCGCUGGACUUAA
RNAcentral lists this unclassified non-coding RNA (243 nucleotides) under uncultured fungus. RNAcentral describes it as "sequence contains ITS1". The stretch from base 1 to 97 matches the Rfam family "5.8S ribosomal RNA", at positions 49 to 154 of the family's 154-position model. Lineage: Eukaryota; Fungi. The record is from RNAcentral.